GCCGCUACAACCAGAGUAAAAAAAAAUGUUUGAUUUUUACUCCGGUUCGCUAGUAAAUCUUUUUUAGUUCGUUUUAAAACUAAAUGUAUAUUUAGUGGACUGUUUUCGCGGUAAAUUUCAUACGUGACAUUUGACAUGCCAUUUGCUCUCCACGUUUUGUUUUAUCAAAUGACAUAGCGAAACAACAUCAUAUGCACACAGACGGAUUAUAAACACGAGCCGAGGAAUAUGCAACCAAGUAGCUUUAAUUCAAAACGCAACCGAACUUAACGACCGCAGAUGACAAAUUCUAUUUAAACGAAAAUGGAAACAAUUCGAGGCCUAGUGAUUCUAGAACAGUGCAUGAGUCCAGGAGCUCCGUGUGGCAGUCCCAGAAUCAUAGUCUCCCUAAAAUCUCUGGAAGCCAGAGUGUCUCUCAUGAAUUAUUAAUUGGAUACAUCGAAGAUUCUGGACGUCGCGUGUCUGCAACGAUGUUCUUGCCCCGCAAGCUGUUGUAUUUCCACUCCAAGAUAUUUGCAUUCUACCCGGUGGCUUACCAGAGUGAGCAUUUUAAAACCACUUCCCUAUUAGACUUAUACGUUUAAAGUCCAAUUGUUAUAACAUUUUAAGCUGGGCUAUCAACUAAUUGGGUUAAAAGAAAAGAAAUUAAAACCAAAGAUCUCAUAUUGGAUUGUUUACUUAGUACUAUUUCGUUACUAUUGCUACUCUCCGUGUGAUUUUGGAUCCAGUACUUUAUUACUCAUUUGUCGAAAUCAAUCAAAAACAUUUUCCAUCCUUUAAGAGUUCUUCUAUGAGCUUCUUGCAUUCCAUUCUCUUUAGUUUUCCUGAGUGCGUAUGCGGCAAUGAGUCCACGAACGCAAUGCCUCCGUGCAAUCUCUUGUGAUCGCUUAGUGUUGCUGUAAACAAAAAUUAUGUACAGAAGAUAAUAAUAAUAAUAAAUAAAUAAAUAAUAAUAAAUAUUUACUAACAAUCACGCCACGUUAACUGGUCCCGUGAUAAGUUCGUAAAGAACUUGUGUUACAGGUACCAGAUAACGGAUAUAAAUGUAAGAGUUUUAUUAUACACAUACAUAUAUUUAAUAUACAUCCAUAAGCCUGGAAAAGACAGGGACUUCCCGCCAAGGGAAGAUAUUUAUCAUACAAAUAUUUUUCCUUGGCGGGAUUCGAACCCGCGACCU
Molecule: long non-coding RNA, 1177 nt
Organism: Bombyx mori (domestic silkworm)
Lineage: Eukaryota; Metazoa; Arthropoda; Insecta; Lepidoptera; Bombycidae
Exons: 2
Source: RefSeq, a predicted model, not a curated record